RNAcentral lists this ribosomal RNA (1179 nucleotides) under Diacheopsis metallica. RNAcentral describes it as "SSU rRNA". It matches the Rfam family "Eukaryotic small subunit ribosomal RNA", at positions 25 to 1130 of the family's 1831-position model. Lineage: Eukaryota; Evosea; Eumycetozoa; Stemonitida. The record is from RNAcentral.
UGUAUGCUUCUCCUAAAGACUAAGCCAUGCAUGCCCCGAAUAAGAGGAAGCAAUUCUCUCUGAAUCUGCGAACGGCUCCGCAAACCAGUUGUAAACUAGAGCAAGCUAGUCUGGCGGGCUUCGGCCUCCAGGCGAUAUGGAUAACCCUGGUAAUUCUGAGGCUAAUACAGGACCGCAAAACCGAGCAGCCCAGCAAUGGAUGCUCGGGGCUGUGCGAUAUGGCUUGACAAUGACCGGGAAAGGACGCACACUCAGACCGCGCUACAAAGGAUCAGGACUCCCCUCGGGGAACCUGGCCCCAGCGGCUCUUGCUGUGUGCUUCUGACCUAUCAACUAGACGGCAGCGUAAUGGACAUGCUAUGGUGACAACGGGUACAGAGGAUUAGGGUUCGAUCCUGGAGAGUGGGCCUGAGAGAUUGCUCAUACUUCUAAGGAAGGCAGCAGGCGCGCAACGUUCCCCUUGGGCAAUGCCCGAGGGCGUUAGGGGACAUAUGAAUGCCUGCCCAUUGGGUGGGCAAUUCAAAUGGGUCUGUUGUAAACAGGCUCUCGAGUAACAAUUAGAGGACAAGUCUGGUGCCAGCACCCGCGGUAAUUCCAGCUCUAAUAGCAUACGUUAAAGUUGUUGCGGUUAAAACGCUCGUAGUCGGCUUCUGACUGUCAGAUGCCUGAUCCGGGAGCCUAGGAAUGCUGCCUUCGGGCGCGCCGGGUGACUGGGGAUGGCGGGCGGCAGUCAAUUGUACCUCAGGCUGUAUCCUUCGGGACUCACAGACCGGCUGCCUUCGGGUAGACCCCGGUCGGCUUGGGGUAUCAAUUACCAUGAUUAAACUGGCGUGAUUAAAGCAGGUCGCAAGACCUUGCACAGCGCAGCAUGGAACAAGCCAAGCCGGCCUGGUCUCUCAAGCGGGACUGGGCAGGCAGAAGCAACAGGGGUGUUCGAGGGUGACCGAAUUGCCGGGCGAGUGGUGAAAUACGUUGACCCUGGCAAGUCGACCAAAGGCGAAAGCAGUCAUCAAGGGCACGCCCGUUGAUCAAGAGCGAAAGUUAAGGGUUCGAAGACGAUCAGAUACCGUCGUAGUCUUAACUAUAAAUGAUACUGGCCAGGGAUGGGAUAUUGUCCAUCUCGACUCUUCCUGGACCUUGGAGAAAUCAGAGUCUUUGAGUUCUGGGGGGAGUAUGGUC